This 24-nucleotide microRNA is filed under the name Ananas comosus (pineapple). RNAcentral describes it as "microRNA s0097_c044". Lineage: Eukaryota; Viridiplantae; Streptophyta; Magnoliopsida; Poales; Bromeliaceae. The record is from RNAcentral.
GUCGUUUGAUUUGGACCGCUCAUU